Molecule: ribosomal RNA, 1009 nt
Filed under: Rimularia gibbosa
Lineage: Eukaryota; Fungi; Ascomycota; Lecanoromycetes; Trapeliales; Trapeliaceae
Description: bacterial SSU rRNA
Rfam family: Eukaryotic small subunit ribosomal RNA
Source: RNAcentral
AKUGUAMCGYGAAACUGCRAAUGGCUCRUUAAAUCAGUUAUCGUUUAUUUGAUAGUAUCUCACUUACAUGGAUAACCGUGGUAAUUCUAGAGCUAAUACAUGCUAAAGACCUCGACUUCGGGAGGGGUGUAUUUAUUAGAUAAAAAACCAAUGCCCUCCGGGGCUCCUUGGUGAUUCAUGAUAACUCAACGAAUCGCAUGGCCUUGCGCCGGCGAUGGUUCAUUCAAAUUUCUGCCCUAUCAACUUUCGAUGGUAGGAUAGUGGCCUACCAUGGUGGCAACGGGUGGCGAUUCCCGCUGUUGCCCGUCGCCUCAUGGUCGUGUUGGGGGGCGCCUUUACGGGUCCAUCUCCCGGCAACAUCACUGGCUCARAGGACGUUCCCCCCGGGGGCUGAUUCUGAGGCGAGCUCCUCCCGGGGAGGAGCCGCCCCAACGCAUGCGAAGUGAUGGGUCCCUUGGUCGAGGGACUUUAGACACAUGCUUUACCGCCCGGGCAUCUCACCGGUCGCGGCAAUUUGAACGGGGAAUUAGGGUUCUAUUCCGGARAGGGAGCCUGAGAAACGGCUACCACAUCCAAGGAAGGCAGCAGGCGCGCAAAUUACCCAAUCCCGACACGGGGAGGUAGUGACAAUACGUAUCGAUAUGGAGCUCUUUAGGGUUUCAUAAUUGAAAUGAGUACAAUUUAAAUCCCUUAACGAGGAACAAUUGGAGGGCAAGUCUGGUGCCAGCAGCCGCGGUAAUUCCAGCUCCAAUAGCGUAUAUUAAAGUUGUUGCAGUUAAAAAGCUCGWAGUUUGAACCUUGGGCCUGGCUGACCGGUCCGCCUCACCGCGUGCACUGGUUCGGCCGGGCCUUUCCUCCUGGGGAACCGCAUGCCCUUCGCUGGGUGUGCCGGGGAACCAAGACUUUUACUUUGAAAAAAUUARAGUGUUCAAAGCAGGCCUAUGCUCGGAUACAUUAGCAUGGAAUAAUARAWWAGGACGUGCGGUUCUAUUUUGUUGUUUCUAGGACC